UACGUAGGGAGCGAGCGUUGUCCGGAAUGACUGGGCGUAAAGGGUGUGUAGGUGGUUUGGCAAGUUAGAAGUGUAAUACCAGGGCUUAACUCUGGUGCUGCUUUUAAGACUGUUAGACUUGAGUGCAGUAGAGGUUAGUGGAAUUCCUAGUGUAGCGGUGGAAUGCGUAGAUAUUAGGAGGAACACCAGAGGCGAAGGCGGCUAACUGGACUGUAACUGACACUGAGACACGAAAGUGUGGGGAGCAAAC
This 250-nucleotide ribosomal RNA is filed under the name uncultured prokaryote. RNAcentral describes it as "partial 16S ribosomal RNA". It matches the Rfam family "Bacterial small subunit ribosomal RNA", at positions 524 to 773 of the family's 1533-position model. The record is from RNAcentral.